UACAGGGGGGGCAAGCGUUGUUCGGAAUUACUGGGCGUAAAGGGCGCGUAGGCGGCCUGCUAAGUCGAACGUGAAAUCCCCGGGCUCAACCCGGGAACUGCGUCCGAUACUGGUAGGCUUGAAUCCGGGAGAGGGAUGCGGAAUUCCAGGUGUAGCGGUGAAAUGCGUAGAUAUCUGGAGGAACACCGGUGGCGAAGGCGGCAUCCUGGACCGGCAUUGACGCUGAGGCGCGAAAGCCAGGGGAGCAAACGGG
This 253-nucleotide ribosomal RNA is filed under the name uncultured bacterium. Its description in RNAcentral is "partial 16S ribosomal RNA". It matches the Rfam family "Bacterial small subunit ribosomal RNA", at positions 524 to 776 of the family's 1533-position model. The record is from RNAcentral.